AGCCGUGAUGCUACCAUUAUGCUUGAGGCCGUGGCAUCGGAGGACACAUGGAUCUGGCAUGCAUUUUUUGGUUUGCCGGGAACACUCAAUGAUAUUAAUGUGCUCAAUAGAUCUCCUUUGUUUGCAAGAUUAGUUUCUGGGGAUGCUCCAACUUGCAACUACAAAAUCAUGGACAAUGAGUACUCAAUGGGAUACUAUCUCACCGAUGGAAUUUAUCCCGAGUGGGCAACUCUUGUGAAGUCCAUCAAGGAGAAAAAUGGGGUGCCCUUAACCAGAAAACAGGCUCAUUUCACCAAGGCACAAGAGGCAGCCCGCAAGGAUAUUGAGAGAGCUUUCGGUGUUUUGCAAGCAAGGUUUGCCAUAGUUCGGGGUCCAGCUCGUUUUUGGGACAAAAAAACCUUGGAGAACAUC
Molecule: ribosomal RNA, 411 nt
Filed under: Triticum aestivum (bread wheat)
Lineage: Eukaryota; Viridiplantae; Streptophyta; Magnoliopsida; Poales; Poaceae
Description: partial small subunit ribosomal RNA
Source: RNAcentral